Molecule: ribosomal RNA, 843 nt
Filed under: uncultured Fusobacterium sp.
Lineage: Bacteria; Fusobacteriati; Fusobacteriota; Fusobacteriia; Fusobacteriales; Fusobacteriaceae
Description: bacterial SSU rRNA
Rfam family: Bacterial small subunit ribosomal RNA
Source: RNAcentral
GAUGAACGCUGACAGAAUGCUUAACACAUGCAAGUCAACUUGAACUUCGGUUUGGGUGGCGGACGGGUGAGUAACGCGUAAAGAACUUGCCUCACAGAUAGGGACAACAUUUGGAAACGAAUGCUAAUACCUGAUAUUAUGAUUUUAGGGCAUCCUAGGAUUAUGAAAGCUAUAUGCACUGUGAGAGAGCUUUGCGUCCCAUUAGCUAGUUGGAGAGGUAACGGCUCACCAAGGCGAUGAUGGGUAGCCGGCCUGAGAGGGUGAUCGGCCACAAGGGGACUGAGACACGGCCCUUACUCCUACGGGAGGCAGCAGUGGGGAAUAUUGGACAAUGGACCAAGAGUCUGAUCCAGCAAUUCUGUGUGCACGAUGAAGUUUUUCGGAAUGUAAAGUGCUUUCAGUUGGGAAGAAAAAAAUGACGGUACCAACAGAAGAAGUGACGGCUAAAUACGUGCCAGCAGCCGCGGUAAUACGUAUGUCACAAGCGUUAUCCGGAUUUAUUGGGCGUAAAGCGCGUCUAGGUGGUUAUGUAAGUCUGAUGUGAAAAUGCAGGGCUCAACUCUGUAUUGCGUUGGAAACUGUGUAACUAAAGUACUGGAGAGGUAAGCGGAACUACAAGUGUAGAGGUGAAAUUCGUAGAUAUUUGUAGGAAUGCCGAUGGGGAAGCCAGCUUACUGGACAGAUACUGACGCUGAAGCGCGAAAGCGUGGGUAGCAAACAGGAUUAUAUACCCUGGUAGUCCAAGGGCGAAUUCCACAGCGGAUAUUAAGUUUAUCGAUCCCGUCGACCCCAGGGGGGGGCUAUAUAUAAAAAAAAUUGUUUCCUUUUUGAGGGUUAUUAUAU